Long non-coding RNA from Lolium perenne, 2794 nucleotides. RefSeq lists it as uncharacterized. NCBI's taxonomy places the organism in Eukaryota, Viridiplantae, Streptophyta, Magnoliopsida, Poales, Poaceae. The record is from RefSeq and is a predicted model, not a curated record.
UAACGUUGUAUAUGAUGCCCCCCAUAGGGGGCUUCACAGCGAUUUGAGCCUCGUAGCCGUUGGAUCUUGUUUGGUGGUGGAUCUCGUCCGUCCAUUUUUUCACUGUAGAGUAGUCCAGGACGAGGCCCUCGCGCGAACCCGUUUUUUAUCCAUGGGUCAUGUGGCCCGCCCGGCCCGGCGUCGUCGCGCACCUGCUCCUCCUCCUCUCCCUCGCGCAGCUGCCUCCCGCCGCCACCCCGCGCCGCCUCUCCCCUUCUCGUCCCGUCGCGCCGCCCCUUCCCUCGCCUGCGCAUGGCAGCGCCGCCGUCCGCCGUCGCCUCGCGCUCCCAGCCCCGUCGUCGCCGUCGCCUUGCGCCCCCAGCCCCGCCGCUAGCUCGCUCAGCCGCCACAUCCCGCGCCAUCUCCGCCCCCACGCCGCUCGUCGGAGGCCGGCGCGGGCGAUGGGCGGCCGGCCGACCUAUGGAAGGGGCCGCCGGCGCGCCGCCUCGCCACUCGAGCAGCAGCACACGAUGGUAUGGAGCGGCUAGGAGGAGCUUAUGCGUGGCGGCAAGAGGAGGGCAGGGCGUCGGAUCGAGAUCGUCCUCUGCGGAGCUGUGUUCCGCAGGGCAAGAGGAGGCGCCACCACUCCCCACACCUUCUCCUCCGGCGGCAAGGCAGCGCCGUCAUCUUCAUCGCCCCUCCAUCUCCUUCCCCACCCUUCUCCGCCGGUAGCAGGAAGAUGCUGCGGGAGCAACACCCUCGUCCUUGCGGAGUGCAGCGGUUGCCGCCGAGAUGGAAUCGCCGUCGUCCUCAGCGGAGAGGAGCGUGAGCCACUGCCAAGCGGCUCCAGAGAGACAUGCCGAGCCAAGGCCACCAGCUCCUCCCGCAGCUCCACAGGCAAAACAGGGGUCUGCCUGUUCACGACGCCCAGUCGCUCGAGCUCUGCCCCGACUGCUGCUGCUGAGAUGGAGACGACCACGGCAUGUCGAGGUCCCAGAGGUGUGAUGACAGAACCAUUUCCCCAGCGUUCUCUAUCAAGCCAAAGCCUGCAUCUACUACCUUGAGAGCAACACCCAACCUUCUGCAACAAGGUUGAACUUAUAGGGCAGUUAGCCACAUUGUUCAUACCUCAGUAACUACCAUCACCUCCUGCCCAGCUGUGUUGAGAUUGAAUACAGGUCGAUCGGGUCUUAUUGGUAAGCAGCGGCUUGCCUCGCUGCAUAUGGAUCAACAACUUACGACACCCAACUUCCAACCUUGGAUCUAAUGACUUGAUGACAAAUUGUUUGUUGUAGAACACUCCGGUACUGCAUUCUCACUUUGCACCACCGUGUCGGCCAAAGAGACAACCAAAUAUCGAAGCGCAUACAUUAUACUGUACCAGACAAUGCAAAGGUGUGAAGUUCCCUUGUGCUCAAUGGCAACACAGAGCUUCUAGGCCUGACUUGUCAUUCUUCCUGCAGCAUGAUUUGAGGUUCAAAUCUUCGAUUCACUUAAUAUACUCCUAAGUUAAGCGUACUGAUGGUGGUUUGGAUUAGAUCAGGUAGCUGUUGGCACCCAUGAGGCUUCCAGAACAAACUGAAUUUAAUGUGUUGUCUCUAGGUGACACAGUUUAUGCCAUGAGUGUAUCAAAAACAAACUAUGGGCAAUUGAUGUGGCUAGCAGAAUCGUGAUAAUAGGCAGAAAUAACUGAAUCAUUAUUGCUGGCUUUUGCCUAAUGCCAUCAGCCCGAGGUUCCGUGGCUUGAUCUCAACUAUUUGGCCUGAAGUUAAGUCAGACCUACAUCAUUUAGGAGUUUCCUGUAUGAUUUUUGAUUAGCAACAAUCUGUAACAGUACUCAUGCUUCUUAUAUUUUCUUGCAUAUGUAAAAUACGUUUGUGCUUUCCUCUACGAUGUACAUAAAAAUUCCUUGGGAAGAUUUACAUCCCUGACAUCAAUUGGCUACAUAUGAUUCUUUUUAUUGCUGUAAUUGAUGGAUUUAAGAAAAAUACAGAUAGGAAUCCAUACGGUGAGCUUCAUUUUUCACAACUUCCUUUGCAUCUUUAGCAUAUAGCUGAAUAGGGAGUAUUUAUUUUUUCAGUGCCUCCAAUGGUGUACUAAACCAUCUGUUGUAUGGUUGAUAACUUGUAUUCGAUAUCUUUUACUGGUUAUUAGCUGUUGCAUGGUCGAGUUUACCACAAGAUUUUUUUUUUCACCUUGAUGCUCUUCUAUUGUCACCAUAUGUUUGAUCAUUUUUACUGUUGCAACCACCAAUGUUCUGGAACUGAUAGCUUAAAAUAUGAGACUCGAGUUAAGAAAGAAAAUGAAAUAUCCCUUAUGUACGUAGUAUAUAUGAGUGUGUUGAAAAAACUUUUCAUGAAGUAAUAGUAUUGGUAGUGAUCAAGGAUUAAUGUUUUCUAGCUUCCAAUUGUCAUUGAAUAAGAACACCAGUUUUAUAUUGGCAGCAGAUGCACAUCCUAAUUGGUCAUUCAACUUUAACUUGCAGUUCACUGCCAUGAACCCAACAAUGACAAGGCAAAUCAACAGAUACAAUGUAUGAGUGUAUUAAUAAGUAUACAAUCUUGACUAACAUGUUUACUGUCAUGGACUCCAGUUUCUCAACUGUAAGUGCGAUGUGAUUCCCUAGCAGAGAGGAGGCUGAAACAUGGAGCAGCUUCGUGGGCGCAGAAGCAGCAAGCGGUGGUUGGCAUCAGCAAUGAUAGCUACAGAACCAUGCUGUUCUCCUCUUGUUUCCAAGAUGUGUAGUCCAGCUGAGUAGAUAUGUUAGUCACUUCUCAGCAGAUUAUCUCUACAUGGUUUUAAUUGUUAACUGAUA